CUAAGUUCCAGUCCCUGAGUCAUUCAUGAGUAGCACUGCCAAUGAACUGACAGCCAUGCUGUGUCCCUCCACAUCCCCUAGGUGACUCGAAGAAGCCUUCCAAAAAGCAUGUGAAAAGGAAGCCCUACUCUACUACCAAGGUGACUUCAGGGAGCACAUUCAAUGGUACGUAUUCUGGAAUCACUCACUGGUUGUUAGAAAAGGAUUCUACAGGAAAUCUGGAGCUUAACUGCUGGCUUUUGUCUGGAGAGCCUCCAUGAUCCAAGACAUCUGGUGGGAAUGAGGAUGUAGGGUAUAGUAAAAGAAACUGGUUUUCCUGGUGACAUA
Molecule: long non-coding RNA, 327 nt
Organism: Homo sapiens (human)
Lineage: Eukaryota; Metazoa; Chordata; Mammalia; Primates; Hominidae
Gene: FAM230H
Product: family with sequence similarity 230 member H
Source: Ensembl